This 301-nucleotide ribosomal RNA is filed under the name uncultured bacterium. Its description in RNAcentral is "partial 16S ribosomal RNA". It matches the Rfam family "Bacterial small subunit ribosomal RNA", at positions 509 to 807 of the family's 1533-position model. The record is from RNAcentral.
CAGCCGCCGCGGGAAUACGUAGGUGGCAAGCGUUGUCCGGAAUUAUUGGGCGUAAAGGGCUCGCAGGCGGUUUCUUAAGUCUGAUGUGAAAGCCCCCGGCUCAAUCGGGGAGGGUCAUUGGAAACUGGGAAACUUGAGUGCAGAAGAGGAGAGUGGAAUUCCACGUGUAGCGGUGAAAUGCGUAGAGAUGUGGAGGAACACCAGUGGCGAAGGCGACUCUCUGGUCUGUAACUGACGCUGAGGAGCGAAAGCGUGGGGAGCGAACAGGAUUAGAUACCCCGGUAGUCCCUGUCUCUUAUAC